CGCUGAUGGGACUGAAGCCCCCUCCGCCCUCCGUUUCUGCUGCUGUACACAGUGGAUGUGAGAGGAGGCCAAACAAAGCACUGGGAAAUAAAAGAGGAGCUCAACAGCGGAGCCCAUUAAGGGCUUUUAAUCACAGCGUGCCCGAGAAGACCUCCUCACUCCCACAUUAUGAAACGCUAAAUUGGAAUGAAGAAGGAGCUGACCGCCCUCCAUCCUGAGGCCCUCGCAUGUGCGGGAAGAGAGAAAAAAAAGAAGAAAAAAGCCACAUGAAAAGGAGAUUGCGACGGGUGCGGCAGGAUGCGGGGCGCACUGCCUGUGAGUGGACUGCAGACCCUGCUGGUCCUCCUCCUGCU
Molecule: long non-coding RNA, 353 nt
Organism: Gasterosteus aculeatus aculeatus (three-spined stickleback)
Lineage: Eukaryota; Metazoa; Chordata; Actinopteri; Perciformes; Gasterosteidae
Source: Ensembl